This is a long non-coding RNA of Fukomys damarensis (Damara mole-rat), 1847 nucleotides long. The record is from Ensembl. NCBI's taxonomy places the organism in Eukaryota, Metazoa, Chordata, Mammalia, Rodentia, Bathyergidae.
CAGAAUAGCACGAGAAGUUGCUUUCGUUCAGAUGCAGCACAGAGAGCAUCUCCUUUGGCCAGGUCCCUGCAGGCCUCUGCUGCUCGUGGGAUUUGCCGACUCCUCAGACUGCCUGUGAUCUAAAUGUCUGUGUCUUGCAGGUGCGCUGCCAAUCCAGUGGAUGGUGACUCCGCUUUUCUACCUGAGAGGGGAUCGAAAUGUAAGUGCCGCAGACCAUUCUGUGUCGAUUCUCCCGGAGAUCUGUACAGACCAUUCCCCCCUUUUCAUGCCUUCUGCUCUAGACUCCAGGUCUGACCGGCUCCCGUGCUGCUGAUUUGUUUUUUAAGGCUUCUGACUGGCAGUAACAGGGCGGCCAUGGAAAAUGGCCUAACUGAGGGCUGAUCAGAGCUCAGUUGCAGUCCUAUAAUUAACAACAGGUAAUUACAGGAAAGCCGCACGUUUCGCUAAUACCUUUUACAGAUGAAUCUUUGUGUCUCCCCUUGCCUUAUAAAUGUACACAGUUUUUGCCGAUUAGGAAUUGUUUGUGGAAUGUGGCUUUUGCACAGACACAAUUUGAUAGCUUCUGCUUGGUAAAUUAAUGCUGUUAGCAAAAGCAAGGUUAUACAGGAACUCAGCUCAGCUAUUUGAAUAGACUUCAUUGGUCCAUCUACAGAGAAGUGUAUGUCUGCGGGGAUUAAAACUAGAGCUCAUUGGGUGUUACUGGUUAAAAGCAAAAGGAAAAAUUAAGUCCUGGAGAAAGAGAAAUUAGAAAACUAUUCCCAAAGAAUUUGAGUCCAAAGCCUGCAUUUGUAGGCCUUGCUGUUGUCUGUUUUCCUAAAUUUUGUUUAGUUUAAUUCAUCUUCAUAAAGUGAGGGACAGAGGAGUCCUGUGAACUAAGUAGAGGUUAAUGAACUGUCUUUUUUUUUUCUUCUUUUUCUUUCACAAACCCAGGGCCUUGUGCAUGCUGGCCACCUGCAUUAACACUGAAUGACAACCCAACCCUUAUGAACUCAUUUCUCAAAAGAUACUAACGAUUAUCUUUCAGUUAUGUAAUACCGUAUUUGGUAUAAAUCUUUGGGAUCUUGUUUGUUUUGUUUUGUUUGUGGAGAUAUGUUCUCACUGUGUAGUUCAGGCUGCCCUCAAACUCACGAUCCUCCUGCCUCAGCCUCUUGAGUGCUGGGGUUACAGGCGUGCACUGCCUCACCUGGCCUCAAUAUUCAGGUUUAAUAGAUUGCUUUCUUACCAGUUUCUAACCUUGUAUGGUGAGAACCUUUAAAGACAAGUGGAACACAUUUAAGUACAUAUCCUUCUCUACAUCCAAUCACUAGAAUUAAAAAUGUCGGUCUCCUCACCAGGGUCCUGGUGAAGCCUUGCAGCCAUUUAACAAGAUCGUCAAAUAAGCUCUGGAAAAGCGGAAUUUAUGGCCGCUUCCCAGGCUGGAGUACCCAACGCCUGGGGUUGGGUUUCUUGUCCUGCCUCGGCAAGGUUCGCUCUGCUGUUAUUUCCUCAAAACGGCUGUGAUUUCAGAAGCCAGAGUUGGGAAUUCCUCUGGCUGUGACACGAAUUCAGAGUCCUGUCCACCUAAGAAGCACGUCAGUGCGAACAAUUUACCUUCCAACAGUGUUGUAAAUAAGAACCAGGUUGAUGUAUGUAAUGGAUGAAGGAUAAUAAUACUCAUUCUAAAAAUUGGUGGGGUUUUUUUUCACUUUAAUAAAAAACACUUUGGGGUAAAGAAAAAUUGCAGCAUGUCUACUAAUUCAAUUAUCAGUGAAGAACUAGCUCAGUGUAACUGACUUUUAUUAAGUUUAGCUUUACAUUCAGUAAAAAGUUUAUUUCCAGGCUAAGUUGCUUGCCAUGAGAAAAUCAAC